GAUGAACGCUAGCUACAGGCUUAACACAUGCAAGUCGAGGGGUAACAAGAGAAAAGCUUGCUUUUCUUGUUGACGACCGGCGCACGGGUGAGUAACGCGUAUCCAACCUGCCUAUAACUAGGGAAUAACCUUGCGAAAGUAAGACUAAUGCCCUAUGACUUCCUUUGAUGACAUCAGAUUAGGAAUAAAGAUUUAUCGGUUAUAGAUGGGGAUGCGUCUGAUUAGCUUGUUGGCGGGGUAACGGCCCACCAGGGCAACGAUCAGUAGGGGUUCUGAGAGGAAGGUCCCCCACAUUGGAACUGAGACACGGUCCAAACUCCUACGGGAGGCAGCAGUGAGGAAUAUUGGUCAAUGGGCGGAAGCCUGAACCAGCCAAGUAGCGUGCAGGAUGACGGCCCUAUGGGUUGUAAACUGCUUUUAUACAGGGAUAAAGUUAGCCACGUGUGGUUAUUUGCAGGUACUGUAUGAAUAAGGACCGGCUAAUUCCGUGCCAGCCGCCGCUGUAA
This 506-nucleotide ribosomal RNA is filed under the name uncultured bacterium. RNAcentral's name for it is "partial 16S ribosomal RNA". It matches the Rfam family "Bacterial small subunit ribosomal RNA", at positions 28 to 523 of the family's 1533-position model. The record is from RNAcentral.